Molecule: ribosomal RNA, 373 nt
Filed under: uncultured bacterium
Lineage: Bacteria
Description: bacterial SSU rRNA
Rfam family: Bacterial small subunit ribosomal RNA
Source: RNAcentral
ACAGAGGGUGCAAACGUUGUUCGGAAUUACUGGGCGUAAAGCGUGUGUAGGCUGCCAAGCAAGUCGGAUGUGAAAGCCCCGGGCUCAACCCGGGAAGUGCACCCGAAACUGCAUGGCUUGAGUAUCGGAGAGGUUGGUGGAAUUCUCGGUGUAGAGGUGAAAUUCGUAGAUAUCGAGAGGAACACCGGUGGCGAAGGCGGCCAACUGGACGAAUACUGACGCUGAGACACGAAAGCGUGGGGAGCAAACAGGAUUAGAUACCCUGGUAGUCCACGCCGUAAACGAUGGGUGCUAGGUGUCACGGGCAUUGACUCCCGUGGUGCCGUAGCUAACGCAUUAAGCACCCCGCCUGGGAAGUACGGCCGCAAGGCUA